AAGACUAUACUUUCAGGGAUCAUUUCUAUAGUUUUUAACUUUUGGAAAUGUGCUCUAAAGUGUCCAGAUCUACCAACCAUGAGGAAGAGCAAUAGUAAUCUUUUCUGAGCGCGAAGUGAGCUCUCAGUGCUGCUUCAUUGUAGCUUCAUUGUAGCUGCUGUUUGCUUUUGAUGACCGUUCCUUUUCUUCUAUCAUGGGAGGAAGAGAUUACAAGCUGAGUGGU
Molecule: small nucleolar RNA, 223 nt
Organism: Pseudophryne corroboree (corroboree frog)
Lineage: Eukaryota; Metazoa; Chordata; Amphibia; Anura; Myobatrachidae
Product: small nucleolar RNA U3
Exons: 1
Source: RefSeq, a predicted model, not a curated record